ACAUAUUGAAACCCCAUAUCUACUAAAAUACCAAUAAUAAUAAUAAUAAUUACCUGGGCCCGGUGGCGGGGCAGCUGUACUCCCAGCUCCUCGGGGGAGCUGAGGGUGGGAGGUUUGCUUGAGCCCGGGAGGUCGAGCCUACAGUGAGCUGAGAUUGUGCCACUGCACUCCAGC
Sapajus apella (tufted capuchin) is the source of this 174-nucleotide long non-coding RNA. RefSeq lists it as uncharacterized. Lineage: Eukaryota; Metazoa; Chordata; Mammalia; Primates; Cebidae. The record is from RefSeq and is a predicted model, not a curated record. The transcript is spliced from 3 exons.